GGGGGAACCCUGCUGCANCAACGCCGCGUGAGUGAUGACGGCCUUCGGCUUGUAAAGCUCUGUCUUCAGGGACGAUAAUGACGGCACCUGAGGAGGAAGCCACGGCUAACUACGUGCCAGCAGCCGCGGUAAUACGUAGGUGGCGAGCGUUGUCCGGAUUUACUGGGCGUAAAGGGAGCGUAGGCGGACUUUUAAGUGAGAUGUGAAAUACCCGGGCUCAACUUGGGUGCUGCAUUUCAAACUGGCAAGUCUAGAGUGCAGGAGAGGAGAAUGGCAAUUCCUAGUGUAGCGGUGAAAUGCGUAGAGNAUUAGGUAAGAAACACCAGUGGCCGAAGGCGCAUUCUCUGGACUGUAACUGGACGCUGAGGCUCGAAAGCGUGGGGUAGCAAACAGGAUUAGAUACCCUGGNUAGUCCACGCCGUAAACGAUGAAUACUAGGUGUAGGGGUUGUCAUGACCUCUGUGCCGCCGCUUAACGCAUUAAGUAUUCCGCCUGGGGANGUACGGUCGCAAGAUUANAACUCAAAGGAAUUGACGGGGNGCCCGCACAAGCAGCGGAGCAUGUGGUUUAAUUCUAAGCAACGCGAAGAACCUUACCUAGACUUUGACAUCUCCUGCAUUCCCUUAAUCGGGGGAANUUCCUUUCGGGGACAGGAANACAG
This 661-nucleotide ribosomal RNA is filed under the name uncultured bacterium. RNAcentral's name for it is "bacterial SSU rRNA". It matches the Rfam family "Bacterial small subunit ribosomal RNA", at positions 374 to 1037 of the family's 1533-position model. The record is from RNAcentral.